GGGUAGGUGCCCGAGGGGUUAAAGGGACCAGACUGUAAAUCUGGCGCCGUACGGCUACGAAGGUUCGAAUCCUUCCCUGCCCA
RNAcentral lists this transfer RNA (83 nucleotides) under Leptospiraceae bacterium. RNAcentral's name for it is "tRNA-Tyr". It matches the Rfam family "tRNA". From Rfam's summary of the family: Transfer RNA (tRNA) molecules are approximately 80 nucleotides in length. Their secondary structure includes four short double-helical elements and three loops (D, anti-codon, and T loops). Lineage: Bacteria; Pseudomonadati; Spirochaetota; Leptospiria; Leptospirales; Leptospiraceae. RNAcentral also lists the same sequence under 1 other name. The record is from RNAcentral.